GGGGAAUAUUGCACAAUGGGCGGAAGCCUGAUGCAGCAACGCCGCGUGAGUGAAGAAGGUUUUCGGAUUGUAAAGCUCUGUCAUCUGGGACGAUAAUGACGGUACCAGAUGAGGAAGCCACGGCUAACUACGUGCCAGCAGCCGCGGUAAUACGUAGGUGGCAAGCGUUGUCCGGAAUUACUGGGCGUAAAGGGUGCGCAGGCGGACAUUUAAGUGAGAUGUGAAAUACCCGGGCUUAACCCGGGCAGUGCAUUUCAAACUGGGUGUCUGGAGUGCAGGAGAGGAGAACGGAAUUCCUAGUGUAGCGGUGAAAUGCGUAGAGAUUAGGAAGAACACCAGUGGCGAAGGCGGUUCUCUGGACUGUAACUGACGCUGAGGCACGAAAGCGUGGGUAGCAAAC
RNAcentral lists this ribosomal RNA (400 nucleotides) under uncultured bacterium. RNAcentral's name for it is "bacterial SSU rRNA". It matches the Rfam family "Bacterial small subunit ribosomal RNA", at positions 356 to 773 of the family's 1533-position model. The record is from RNAcentral.